AUUGAACGCUGGCGGCAUGCCUUACACAUGCAAGUCGAACGGUAACGGGCCUUCGGGUGCCGACGAGUGGCGAACGGGUGAGUAAUGUAUCGGAACGUACCUUUCAGUGGGGGAUAACGUAGCGAAAGUUACGCUAAUACCGCAUAUUCUGUGAGCAGGAAAGCAGGGGAUCGCAAGACCUUGCGCUGAUUGAGCGGCCGAUAUCAGAUUAGCUAGUUGGUGAGGUAAAGGCUCACCAAGGCGACGAUCUGUAGCGGGUCUGAGAGGAUGAUCCGCCACACUGGAACUGAGACACGGUCCAGACUCCUACGGGAGGCAGCAGUGGGGAAUUUUGGACAAUGGGGGGCAACCCUGAUCCAGCCAUGCCGCGUGAGUGAAGAAGGCCUGG
Molecule: ribosomal RNA, 388 nt
Filed under: uncultured bacterium
Lineage: Bacteria
Description: bacterial SSU rRNA
Rfam family: Bacterial small subunit ribosomal RNA
Source: RNAcentral